GGGGAGGGGUGGUAGUCGUAAGCAAUGUGAUUGCCAGAAAGCAAACUCUUCCCCUUAUUGUCAAACUUCACUUUGUACUUCUUACCAGCACCUGGAAGAUGUUUCAGCAGAGCAGGAUCAAUAAAGGCACAGUGAUGCCAUACAGAAAGAGCUGAGCACCACUGACCCACACCCAGAACCUACCGACUGUCUGGAUGGCAAUCAGAGUUCCUUUGUGCCACGUUUUGGUUCUCUUCUUGCCCAGGAUCCUCAUGCCAACCUUCAGAUCGCCAUCGUUGCUGAGAUCACCCACACCCACAGCAGGUCCAGAAGACUGGGGAGCACCAGGAGCUUGCUGAGGGGUUUGUGCAUCUUUCAGUGCAUCCUGGGCGUUCGUUCUCCUGUGCACAGCAUCCAUAAAUU
This 402-nucleotide long non-coding RNA is filed under the name Gallus gallus (chicken). The record is from RNAcentral. Lineage: Eukaryota; Metazoa; Chordata; Aves; Galliformes; Phasianidae.